UGGGGAAUUUUGGACAAUGGGCGAAAGCCUGAUCCAGCAAUGCCGCGUGUGUGAAGAAGGCCUUCGGGUUGUAAAGCACUUUUGUCCGGAAAGAAAUCCUUGGCUCUAAUACAGUCGGGGGAUGACGGUACCGGAAGAAUAAGCACCGGCUAACUACGUGCCAGCAGCCGCGGUAAUACGUAGGGUGCAAGCGUUAAUCGGAAUUACUGGGCGUAAAGCGUGCGCAGGCGGUUUGCUAAGACCGAUGUGAAAUCCCCGGGCUCAACCUGGGAACUGCAUUGGUGACUGGCAGGCUAGAGUAUGGCAGAGGGGGGUAGAAUUCCACGUGUAGCAGUGAAAUGCGUAGAGAUGUGGAGGAAUACCGAUGGCGAAGGCAGCCCCCUGGGCCAAGUACUGACGCUCAUGCACGAAAGCGUGGGGAGCAAACAGGAUUAGAUACCCUGGUAGUCCACGCCCUAAACGAUGUCAACUAGUUGUUGGGGAUUCAUUUCCUUAGUAACGUAGCUAACGCGUGAAGUUGACCGCCUGGGGAGUACGGUCGCAAGAUUAAAACUCAAAU
RNAcentral lists this ribosomal RNA (559 nucleotides) under uncultured bacterium. RNAcentral's name for it is "partial 16S ribosomal RNA". It matches the Rfam family "Bacterial small subunit ribosomal RNA", at positions 355 to 906 of the family's 1533-position model. The record is from RNAcentral.